Molecule: ribosomal RNA, 403 nt
Filed under: Verrucomicrobiota bacterium
Lineage: Bacteria; Pseudomonadati; Verrucomicrobiota
Description: Verrucomicrobia bacterium partial 16S ribosomal RNA
Rfam family: Bacterial small subunit ribosomal RNA
Source: RNAcentral
UGGGGAAUAUUGCACAAUGGGCGCAAGCCUGAUGCAGCAACGCCGCGUGAACGAUGAAGGUCUUCGGAUCGUAAAGUUCUGUUGCAGGGGAAGAUAAUGACGGUACCCUGUGAGGAAGCCCCGGCUAACUACGUUCCAGCAGCCGCGGUAAUACGUAGGGGGCUAGCGUUAUCCGGAUUUACUGGGCGUAAAGGGUGCGUAGGUGGUCUUUCAAGUCGGUGGUUAAAGGCUACGGCUCAACCGUAGUUAGCCUCCGAAACUGGAAGACUUGAGUGCAGGAGAGGAAAGUGGAAUUCCCAGUGUAGCGAUGAAAUACGUAGAUAUAUGGAGGAACACCGGUGGCGAAAGCGGCUCUCUGGUCUGUAACUGACGCUGAGGCUCGACAGCGUGGGGAGCGAACAGG